CCUACGGGAGGCUGCAGUGAGGAAUAUUGGUCAAUGGGCGGGAGCCUGAACCAGCCAAGUCGCGUGAGGGAAGACGGUCCUAUGGAUUGUAAACCUCUUUAGGCGGGGAGCAAUGCCGGGCACGCGUGCCCGGAGGGAGAGUACCCGCAGAAUAAGCAUCGGCUAACUCCGUACCAGCAGCCGCGGUAAUCCGGAGGAUGCGAGCGGUAUCCGGAUUUAUUGGGUUUAAAGGGUGCGUAGGCGGACUGGAAAGUCAGCGGUAAGAUCGAGCGGCUCAACCUCUUUCCGCCGUGGAAACUGUGGGUCUUGAGUGGGCGAGAAGUAUGCGGAAUGAGUGGUGUAGCGGUGAAAUGCAUAGAUAUCACGCAGAACGCCGAUUGCGAAGGCAGCAUACCGGCGCCCGACUGACGCUGAGGCACGAAAGCGUGGGUAUCGAACAGGAUUAGAUACCCCGGUAGUC
RNAcentral lists this ribosomal RNA (460 nucleotides) under uncultured bacterium. Its description in RNAcentral is "partial 16S ribosomal RNA". It matches the Rfam family "Bacterial small subunit ribosomal RNA", at positions 338 to 795 of the family's 1533-position model. The record is from RNAcentral.